CUCGGCCAAUAACGAACUAAUUAAAAACCAAAGCAGAGCUCUCCCCUCGUCCAGGUGCUCAAAUUAAAUCCACCUUUCAAAUGGGUCACAUGAUCCCAUUCCAAUCGAGAAAAACAAUUCGCAACAAAUAAAUAAGACGUAUUAUUUGUUCUAGAAUUUCUCAAAAGAAGAAUCAUAGGUCAAGGUUUGGAGUAGAUAGUGGAAAUGACGUAGAUAUACUCUGUCUAAUUAGGAACUGAGUUUUCCAAAAAGAUAAGGUGGAAUUUUGGAGUUAUUGCGUUUGAUGUCGUUGUCCGAUGUCUUUGCGAAAUUGUUCUUGUGUAGGAUCACAGGUUAACUGAUUAUUUUUGACUGCACGACCUAAUUUACCUACGCCGUUUCAAGCUUUUUGCAAUAUCUGAGUAAUAGUGUUUCACCCAUAAACCAACUUUUACAUUUGCUUCAUUCAACUCUCAACCGUUUCAGGCUCGAGGCUUCAGAUUACUUGCAUCUUGAUAGUUCCAGAUGUGACAGUCAAAAUGACCGAGAAUGUUAUAAAACGAUCGUAUGGAAAAUUAUACCUAUACAAAAAAGAAGGAAUUAUGAGAACCCGUAUCGAUGAGAACUUGGUAUCACUUUCGCGCCACCUGGGCCAACCAAAAUCAUACGAUCGGUUCUGAGAAAUAGUUAUAUUCAUCGCUAAUAAAUUGACUGUUGGUUUAAUUGCAAAAAGGAAUUAUCAUAUUCUGGCGAUUAACUGGAUGUAGUGUAAUUCUCAAAUUAGUUGUGGACACUUUUCUCUCAUUGUGGAGAAUUUAACUGAAUUUUGGUGAAUGCGUAAGUACUGGUCACUUUCUUUAACCACCUGUUAAUUGUGCGUUUUACAUGGAGUUUGAAUCAAUUUCAUUUUAAACCGCUGCCGUACUAUUAUUUUCUUAAAUAAUUCUCUUAUUAAUCGGAGUUUCAAGUUAUAAUUUCAUUCCAUACAAAAUGCGAGUAAAAAGCAUUAUGCGGGUCACUCUGUAAUUGGUCGCCCGGUUGAGGGCCCAGAACAAGAGAGGAAUAAAUAAAUACAUAACUCGUUAAUUCCAAGUAAGAUCUCGCAACAAAUCAGCAGUAAUAUUGACUUACCCCGAGUCUUCGACUUCCUUAGAGCUCUACGGAAUUUCCUUACAUAAUCUGAAAGCGCACGCUAACCUUGGAAAUAGACUGAGAUGGUAGUACUCGAAUUCACAAUAAAAUGACGAUAAAACGAAAUAAAUCUCUGAAACCAAGAUAGCAAGUAACAAAUAAAAUUCAAUAAGCAAAGAGGAAAUUGUGUUUGAUGCUUACAAAUACAAAGUGAAUUUAAAAAAAGACAAUUUUAUUUUCAGUACAGUACAUGUUUAUUCUUUUAGAAAUAAAGAGUUUAACCAA
This is a long non-coding RNA of Photinus pyralis (common eastern firefly), 1395 nucleotides long. RefSeq lists it as uncharacterized. NCBI's taxonomy places the organism in Eukaryota, Metazoa, Arthropoda, Insecta, Coleoptera, Lampyridae. The transcript has 2 exons. The record is from RefSeq and is a predicted model, not a curated record.